This 253-nucleotide ribosomal RNA is filed under the name uncultured bacterium. RNAcentral describes it as "partial 16S ribosomal RNA". It matches the Rfam family "Bacterial small subunit ribosomal RNA", at positions 524 to 776 of the family's 1533-position model. The record is from RNAcentral.
UACGAAGGGAGCUAGCGUUGUUCGGAAUCACUGGGCGUAAAGCGCACGUAGGCGGAUGUGCCAGUCAGGGGUGAAAUCCCGGAGCUCAACUUCGGAACUGCCUCUGAUACAGCACGUCUUGAGUCCGAGAGAGGUGGGUGGAAUUCCUAGUGUAGAGGUGAAAUUCGUAGAUAUUAGGAAGAACACCGGUGGCGAAGGCGGCCCACUGGCUCGGUACUGACGCUGAGGUGCGAAAGCGUGGGGAGCAAACAGG